CCCUUAGAUGUCCGGGGCCGCACGCGCGCUACACUGAAGGAAUCAGCGUGGCUUUCUCCCUGACCCGAAAGGGUUGGGAAACCCGUUGAAUCUCCUUCGUGAUAGGGAUUGGGGCUUGAAAUUGUUCCCCAUGAACGAGGAAUUCCCAGUAAGCGCGAGUCAUAAGCUCGCGUUGAUUACGUCCCUGCCCUUUGUACACACCGCCCGUCGCUACUACCGAUUGAACGGUUUAGUGAGGGCCUCGGAUUGGUCUCGGCCCGCUCUUUACCGGGCGGCGCCGUUGGUCGAGAAGACGCUCGAACUUGAUCGUUUAGUGGAAGUAAAAGUCGUAACA
Molecule: ribosomal RNA, 334 nt
Filed under: uncultured eukaryote
Lineage: Eukaryota
Description: partial 18S ribosomal RNA
Rfam family: Eukaryotic small subunit ribosomal RNA
Source: RNAcentral